UUUUUUUUUUUUUUUUUUUGUGGAGAAUUUCCAUGUUGCUGAUUCUCCCUCAUUUUGGAAACCUCUGCGUGUUGUGUUUCACUGCUCUCUCUAGGUCCACUUGAGGUUAAUUUAUCAUUUUUACUAGAAAUUUUUGGGAGCUUGAUACAGCCUUUUUCCUGUCUGCAUAUCUGAGUUGAGUUGUUUUGGAGGAUUCAGAUUGCCUUGCUUUUCAUGUUUCUGCAUUGAGACUUGUGCAUCUGUUUUCAGUAUGUCCUCAGUUUUAUUUGAGGCUGUGUUAGCCUACCAAUAGAGGACUGGCUGUGUCUGACUCAAAGGCAGCCUGCCUACCUUGCACACACAGGUCUGUCAGUACAAUCCUGGGCCGGGGUUGAGGGGAAUAAAGAUAGUGCCAAUGCCCAUGACUUUUGAGGCUUAAAAUGAGCUGCUUUAUAUGUUUGUGAGGUGGAAAUUAGAGUUUCAUGGAAAAAUAUUUGCCCGGAUGCCAUGCACUCAUAUUCUUUUCUUUUCUUUUUUCUUUCCUUGUUUUUUUUAAGACGGGGGUGACUUGGCUGGGUAUACCGCUUCUUGCUGGUAACCCUAGAAUUUAAGAAACAGAAGCAGGAGGAUUAUGAGCUGUAGGCCAGCCUGAGCUGCACAACAAGACUUCCUCUAUCUCCAUGUAUGACCCAUUCAUUGUAUUUAUUUCAUGAUGUGUACCAAGUGGAUGAGUUAUGCAGCUUAAAAAGCAGAGUGAGUCUUGGACUACUGGGAAGACAGAACUAGCCAGAGGCUAGAGAAUGUUAGGUUCUAGAUUAACAGAUGUAAUGGAUGUAAUAUUUUUUCCUGUAGAAAUAUACAGAUAAACCUGUCAUGCAGGGGGAGAAGGGUGUUCUUGUAUUAGAAAUAUAAUAAGGAAGUCCAGGUGGGAAUCAGAGUUGUGGUAUUUCUUGAGUUGCCUCCAGCUCUCAGGUCCAAGGGUAGCUAAGGGAAAAUGGAGUGCCAACAGCUGGGGCUGUGUGCAGCCAUAGCUGACGAAUUCCCUUCGUAGUUUCAUGGCUACUUGUCAGGUGUUCUAGAUCACAGUCUUCUUAGGGCCUUGGAUUCUUUGUGUUCUCCUCAGCAACAGUAGCGUAGGUGCUCAGGCCUACAACUUUGCCAUUACAGUUUGGUUCGUAGUCUGCUCUUAGCAUGGUCUGUGCUUUCUGCUGUGCUAUGACUUCCACUGGUAUCUAGCACAUUUGGUUCUUUAGAUUUUCAGUUUGUUGUUGGUGGUGGUGACAGGCAACAGAGUCAAAUUAAUUGAAGAAAAAGAGGAAGGACAUAGUAGUAGUUCGUUUAAUUACAGAAAACUUAAGGAAGAGAAACCAGAUUGUAGGUCAGCGGCCGUCUGAGUCCUGAGUGGUGGAUUGUCUUCAGUUAUUUACCUUGAAACUUUGUUUUGUGUCAGCAGAGUAAGAGACAGUAUUGUCUAAUUCCAAGACUGCAGUAGAAGCAGUAUGUACCUGCUUCACUGUAAAGUCAGAGGUCUGGACACCACAGAUCUUCAGUACUAAAUUACUGCUUAAAAUUCACACUCCAGAGAGCAGUCUCUUCACACUCAUUAUCUUGUGGGGCAUGCGUGCAGAGCUCGAAUGGGGUAUGGGUAUUAUACUGGCUAGUUUUGUGUCAACUUGACACAGCUGGAGUUAUCACAGAGAAAGGAGCUUCAGUGGAGGAAAUGCCUUCAUGAGAUCCAACUGUAAGGCAUUUUCUCAAUUAGUGAUCAAGGGGGAAAGGCCCCUUGUGGGUGGGACCAUCUCUGGGCUGGUAGUCUUGGGUUCUAUAAGAGAGCAGGCUGAGCAAGCCAGGGGAAGCAAGCCAGUAAAGAACAUCCCUCCAUGUUCUGCAUCAGCUCCAUGGCCUCUGCAUCAGCUCCUGCUUUCUUACCUGAGUUCCAGUCCUGACUUCCUUGGUGAUGAACAACAAUGUGGAAGUGUAAGCUGAAUAAACUCUUUCCUCCCCAAGUGCUUCUUGGUCAUGAUAUUUGUGCAGGAAUAGAAACCCCGACUAAGACAGGUGUGUCUGCUGAACUCACAUAGUGUUCAGAAUGUAAACAGAACAUUGGGAACUGUGUGAAAAGAAACUAGAGUCAGGAUGUUUAUCCUGACCCAGUGUAAGAGUGGAAGCAGACAAAAGAGCCCUUACACAGUGAGUUUGGAUUCUGUAUUUUAAAUUAUGAAGUCAUGUGAUCCUGUUUCUUCCAUAGGACAUGAUUGGAGAGGCAGCAAGACCUGAAGGAAUGAUGGUCCUAGUUGAAAUCCUUACACGUGUCUAUGGCCCACUUUCCUUUCUGGCUGGUUUAAUUUUCUGCAUUUGUUCUUGUGUGCCACUCCUGUGACAUCUGGUUUUUCAUCUUGGAGCUUUGUUGUGGUCCUGUGCUUAGGAGCUUGUACUCCUGGUUUUUCCUUGCUUGGAUUCUUGUCAUUUGUCCCUCAGCUCAUACGCUUCCUUGUCUUUUCUGCUUAUUUAGGAUCUAUUCCCAGUGGCUCUUGGUUUUACUAAGAAGCAUCACAUUAUGUUUUAUUUAUUACUUUAAGUUGCAAUUAGGUACUUUCAAGUUUAUUUUGUUUUUUUAAAAAAAAUUUUAUUAUUAAAGGUUGUAGGCAGGCAGAGUAGCUGCUGAAAACAUGUGACAGCUUAAAUGACAGCCCUUCCCCCAGAGGGGUUGAAGUCCUCAGCCCUGGCUGCCUCCCUUUAAGCAGCUGUCGCUGUCCUCAACCACUGCUGUGUUCACAGGUACCUUCAGUAGCAGAGAGCUCCCAGUGCAGUCCAGUGGGGGCCUUUCAUGCCUUGUGCCCGUGGAGCUAUGCAACCAAACCCAGUGGCAUAGAGCUUCCCUACCACACCCCUGCACACAUCCUGCAGGUUUUGUGUGUGUGUGUGUGUGUGUGUGUGUGUGUGUGUCUCUCACCAAAAUCUCUCUGCUCAUAGUAAACAACCACUGUUUUACGAAUCAGCCAGCGCCUAGGGAUCUCCACUGUUUUGGGGUUAUCAGUGUCGUCCUUGUGGAGUUCACCCCUUAAGUAUAUGUAUAUAUUGUUUAAGUUAUUUACUCUUCUUCUAGACUGUGCAUGGUAGUAGACAAAGAAUUGUGCCUGUAUUGGAAGAUGCCAGGAAUAAUCCGAAUAUCUUAAAAUUUGAUGGAAGCUACUCAGAGCAGAAAGUAUGUGUAUCAUUUUGGGAUGGUGGUUUUUAGUUGUGUUCCCUCACUGUCUGACACGCCAUGCUGUCAUGUGCAGUAGUGAGGAGGGGCUGGAGGAUCUUUGUUUGAUUCUCCCUUUCUGGGCUUUGUGUUUAGGCAAAUGUAGCUUCACUUAAUGUGUGUUGCUGCUUGUCUUGUAGGAAGAGUUAGAAACGCAAAAUAUUCUCCAAACUGGCUUCCAUAAAAAGGAUGUGUUUCGUGUCUUGUAGUCCUAGUACAUAGGAGACUGAAUUAGAGGUUAAAACCAGCCUAGGCGGCAUCGUUAAGAGUCCACUAAUUCCCCAUCAAGAAAACAAGCAAAAUAUCACCAAAGAAAUUCCAGUAUUUUAGUAUUUAUUAUCAGGUUGGGUCCUAAUUAAAAAUAGCAGCGUUUUGAAUGUUCCCUUCCUAUACUAAACAAGUGAACUCUAUGUACUUGUGUUUUUGCCCUCCCCCAACCCCAAGACACCAGGGGUAGAGUACUCUCUCUGUUUUACAUAAAUGCAGUGUGAGGCAGGAAGUGCUGUGUGUGAAGUACUAUGUUUAAGACCAUGGUUAGUAAUUACUGGCCAAGGCAGAUUUGGCUGCAGAUAGAAGUUAUUCUUAUUGUGCUCCUGUACCAUUUAGGGGAGAGGAUGUCAAGAAUCUUACAGUGAGUAGCUAGCUCCUUUGACCUUUCAGCACAGAUGAAAACAGUUUCUCUUUACAGUUGCUACACAUCCAUUCUCAGCUACAUUGUAUAGUCAUGCCUUAAGUCCUUUUUUAUGGGAUGCCCAUGUCAAGUGUUCCCUCUUGGACUGAAAUGUUCUGAGCAUGCUCUCUGAAGCCUUCAGGUGGUGUCUAGAAACCAGGCUCUGACCAUCUCUUUAUGAGUCUCUGCUUUUCAUUCCUUGUCAGUCACUAGUUUUCAGCUUAGUUAUUUAGAACAUUUGAGUAUUAUGGUUCAAAUAAAAGUAUAAAUGGUAUGUGCAGUAAGGGGGCUUUGACACCAGUUUCCAGGGACUUGGGUCUUCUUUCUGCAGCAAGUGGUGGUGUUCUUAAGAGUCCCUCCAGAGGCAAUAGUGUUAUAUACAAAAGUGUUAAAACACUCUUUCAGUCUUUUUUUUUUUUUUUUUUUCUCAAUUAAAAUUUUACUGUAAGGAACUUGAGAAAUAAAUCAAAAACAUUAUUGCUGAGAGGUUAGGCAGACACAAUGUCUGUAUACCCCGGUGAGCUUCUGUAAAGUUAGAACAGGUAUUUUGAAAUGUGGAACUUCAUAUUAUAGUUUAGAUUUUCACUGUUAGGGAUAUUUUUAGGCACUUGUCCACCACAGAAAUU
RNAcentral lists this long non-coding RNA (4519 nucleotides) under Mus musculus (house mouse). RNAcentral's name for it is "long non-coding RNA chr3:22112657-22117176". The record is from RNAcentral. Lineage: Eukaryota; Metazoa; Chordata; Mammalia; Rodentia; Muridae.